RNAcentral lists this ribosomal RNA (462 nucleotides) under Streptococcus mitis. RNAcentral's name for it is "bacterial SSU rRNA". It matches the Rfam family "Bacterial small subunit ribosomal RNA", at positions 28 to 477 of the family's 1533-position model. The record is from RNAcentral. Lineage: Bacteria; Bacillati; Bacillota; Bacilli; Lactobacillales; Streptococcaceae.
GACGAACGCGGCGGCGUGCCUAAUACAUGCAAGUAGAACGCUGAAGGAGGAGCUUGCUUCUCCGGAUGAGUUGCGAACGGGUGAGUAACGCGUAGGUAACCUGCCUGGUAGCGGGGGAUAACUAUUGGAAACGAUAGCUAAUACCGCAUAAGAGUAGAUGUUGCAUGACAUUUGCUUAAAAGGUGCAAUUGCAUCACUACCAGAUGGACCUGCGUUGUAUUAGCUAGUUGGUGGGGUAACGGCUCACCAAGGCGACGAUACAUAGCCGACCUGAGAGGGUGAUCGGCCACACUGGGACUGAGACACGGCCCAGACUCCUACGGGAGGCAGCAGUAGGGAAUCUUCGGCAAUGGACGGAAGUCUGACCGAGCAACGCCGCGUGAGUGAAGAAGGUUUUCGGAUCGUAAAGCUCUGUUGUAAGAGAAGAAACGAGUGUGAGAAGUGGAAAAGUUCACAACUGGG